RNAcentral lists this ribosomal RNA (450 nucleotides) under Sporothrix stylites. RNAcentral describes it as "partial large subunit ribosomal RNA". It matches the Rfam family "Eukaryotic large subunit ribosomal RNA", at positions 185 to 655 of the family's 3401-position model. RNAcentral also lists the same sequence under 1 other name. Lineage: Eukaryota; Fungi; Ascomycota; Sordariomycetes; Ophiostomatales; Ophiostomataceae. The record is from RNAcentral.
GUUCCUUGGAACAGGACGCCACAGAGGGUGAGAGCCCCGUACGGACGGACGCCUGGCCUAUACCAAGCUCCUUCGACGAAUCGAGUAGUUUGGGAAUGCUGCUCAAAAUGGGAGGUAAAUUUCUUCUAAAGCUAAAUACCGGCCAGAAACCGAUAGCGCACAAGUAGAGUGAUCGAAAGAUGAAAAGCACUUUGAAAAGAAGGUUAAAAAGUACGUGAAAUUGUUGAAAGGGAAGCGCCUGUGACCAGACUUGCGCCCCGUGGACCACCCGGCGUUCUCGCCGGUGCACUCCGCGGGGCGCAGGCCAGCAUCGGUUUUCCUAGGGGGACAAAGGCCGCGGGAACGUAACUCCUUCGGGAGUGUUAUAGCCCGCGGCGGCAUGCCCCUGGGGGGACCGAGGACCGCGCUUCGGCAAGGAUGCUGGCGUAAUGGUCACCAGCGACCCGUCUU